CCUACGGGUGGCAGCAGUGGGGAAUAUUGCACAAUGGGGGAAACCCUGAUGCAGCGACGCCGCGUGAGUGAAGAAGUAUCUCGGUACGUAAAGCUCUAUCAGCAGGGAAGAAAAUGACGGUACCUGACUAAGACGCCCCGGCUAACUACGUGCCAGCAGCCGCGGUAAUACGUAGGGGGCAAGCUUUAUCCGGAUUUACUGGGUGUAAAGGGAGCGUAGACGGCAGCACAAGUCUGGAGUGAAAUCCCGGGGCUUAACCCCGGAACUGCUUUGGAAACUGUGCGGCUGGAGUGCAGGAGGGGUAAGCGGAAUUCUUAGUGUAGCGGUGAAAUGCGUAGAUAGUAGGAGGGACUCCGGUGGCGAGGGCGGCUUACUGGACUGUAACUGACGUUGAGGCUCGAAAGCGUGGGGAGCAAACAGGAUUAGAUACCCCUGUAGUC
Molecule: ribosomal RNA, 440 nt
Filed under: uncultured bacterium
Lineage: Bacteria
Description: partial 16S ribosomal RNA
Rfam family: Bacterial small subunit ribosomal RNA
Source: RNAcentral